This 97-nucleotide small nucleolar RNA is filed under the name Anas platyrhynchos (mallard). RNAcentral's name for it is "Small nucleolar RNA SNORD21 (ENSAPLG00020011269.1)". It matches the Rfam family "Small nucleolar RNA SNORD21". Rfam says of the family: U21 is a member of the C/D class of snoRNA which contain the C (UGAUGA) and D (CUGA) box motifs. U21 is encoded within an intron of the gene for ribosomal protein L5 in mammals, but within introns of the ADP ribosylation factor gene in Drosophila. Lineage: Eukaryota; Metazoa; Chordata; Aves; Anseriformes; Anatidae. The record is from RNAcentral.
GCUACAUGAUGAUACCCCUGUGACUGAGCACUCUGUAAUUGGUCCACAGGUGUGUAUAUGAUGUACUGGAUUGUUUCAAGACGGGACUGAUGGCAGC